Molecule: long non-coding RNA, 793 nt
Organism: Culex pipiens pallens (northern house mosquito)
Lineage: Eukaryota; Metazoa; Arthropoda; Insecta; Diptera; Culicidae
Exons: 2
Source: RefSeq, a predicted model, not a curated record
GCAUUUUGCACUUUCCUAGAGUCUUGCGCAGUUAUUUUCAUCACAGUAACUUUUUAUCACAGUGAUUUUUCAUCACAGUUGUGUCGUUUCCAAGGGUUGUCAAGGUAUGUAAACUGUUUAUGUUUUGAUUUCUAUUUUUGGAAUGUCGGGCCAUGUUACGAAAAUUCUACUCAUCCUUUGUGUUUCAGGACCCAAUCUGAAGAGGAACGGAACAGAUUCAUUGGAAGUGCAAGACAGUUUUCUUUGGCGAUGGCGGGUUUUCCCAGCUGCGAUCUCCAGUCUUUGUUGCCGGAUGUAGCUUCUAAACUGCGGCCUUGAGGCUGUCUUCGACUUAGACUUCCGUGCCGGAUGUGGAUGGACGACCAGCUGUUGGAUUCGUUCCACGCAGAAAUCUUCCUUCUUUGUUGAAUCGGCAGCCCCAGCGUCUGAUCCGAGCGUGCUGAGAGGGCGGGCGUGCCCUCCUUGGCGUUGGAGGCGAGUGGCUUUUGGGCAUUCUUCCUUGGCGUUGACGGCGCGGUGAGGCGCCAGACGACAGAGGUGCUCUUAUAACGGUUGGAUGUAGGCAAAUGCCAUACAGGACUUACACUGUCCAGGCCGAUAAAACCGUAACGGCCGCGCUCGCGAAAUCUCCGGGUUCCAUCUUUUGUGCGGUCAUUGAUGACCAACACACCGAGGAUCACGUCUUAUCCAUUAUGACACCAGGUUGGAGAAGUCCCCUCACUACUGAUGUGAAGGGUUAAAUGUAGUUCGUCAUGGAUUAUGACCAACGGUUACAGGAAAAUAUGUAUUUAAA